GUACUUGUUACAGCAGCACGUAGACUAAUAUUGGAACGAUACAGAGAUUAGCCUGACCCUUGUACAAGGAUGACAUGCAAAUUCAGGAAGCCUUCCCUUUUUUU
Gorilla gorilla gorilla (western lowland gorilla) is the source of this 104-nucleotide small nuclear RNA. The record is from Ensembl. Lineage: Eukaryota; Metazoa; Chordata; Mammalia; Primates; Hominidae.